Molecule: non-coding RNA, 72 nt
Organism: Candidatus Parvarchaeum acidophilus ARMAN-5
Lineage: Archaea; Nanobdellati; Candidatus Parvarchaeota
Source: Rfam
GUCGGGGUAGUACAGCGGUAGUACGCCGCCCUCAUGAGGCGGAGGUCAUGGGUUCAAAUCCCAUCCCCGACA